Molecule: ribosomal RNA, 255 nt
Filed under: uncultured bacterium
Lineage: Bacteria
Description: partial 16S ribosomal RNA
Rfam family: Bacterial small subunit ribosomal RNA
Source: RNAcentral
UACGGAGGGGCUAGCGUUGUUCGGAAUUACUGGGCGUAAAGUGCGCGUAGGUGGUGUGUUAAGUCUGCCGGUCAAAUGCCGAGGCUCAACCUCGUUGCACGCCGGGGAUACUGGCACGCUAGAGACAAGUAGAGGCAAGCGGAAUUCCGGGUGUAGCGGUGGAAUGCGUAGAGAUCCGGAAGAACGACCGGAGGCGAAGGCGGCUUGCUGGGCUUGGUCUGACGCUGAGGCGCGAAAGCGUGGGGAGCGAACAGG